RNAcentral lists this long non-coding RNA (495 nucleotides) under Heterocephalus glaber (naked mole-rat). RNAcentral describes it as "lncRNA (ENSHGLG00000037095.1)". The record is from RNAcentral. Lineage: Eukaryota; Metazoa; Chordata; Mammalia; Rodentia; Bathyergidae.
UGACAAACAGAAGCUCAUAGGGUGAAUAGCCUGUUUUCUUGUGGGGAGUGCAAUGUACGCAGAGAAGCACAAUGGAUAAGGCCUGGACCCAGACAUGUACCAGGCAGGGCCCAUGACUUGUGGUUCCCAGCAUGAAGGAAAGACCACUUCCCACCAGCCCUACUACUUCUCUGCCCUACUUGAGUCUUCUGGAAUGAACCAGCCUCUCAGAAGCCUAGUCAUGCGUGGUCCCAGGGAACACAGUCCAGGCUGGUCUUGAACUUGUGGUGAUCCUCCUGCCUCAGCCUCCUGAGUACUGGGAUUACAGGUGUGUGCCACCAUACCCGGCUGCAAGGGAUGAAUCUUGAAGGACCACUUGGACUUCUCUCUGGCUAAGCAUUUCAGAGCCACAGCAGCUAUGGUCCUGAGGAGGGACCAGGUGUUCGAGGAAGGAAGCUGGAGGACCAACUGGACAUAAACGUUCUGUGUGUGACCUGGGAUUUCUGGGAAUGUGGG